AUUGCUUCUCGGCCUUUUGGCUAAGCUCUAGUAUCUGUUCUUAUCAGUUUACUAUCUGAUUUUAAAAAUAUGUAUAUAUAAAAGAGAGCAAGUAAAUAAUUUAACAUCCAUA
This is a small nuclear RNA of Callithrix jacchus (white-tufted-ear marmoset), 112 nucleotides long. Its record names the gene U2. It matches the Rfam family "U2 spliceosomal RNA". From Rfam's summary of the family: U2 is a small nuclear RNA (snRNA) component of the spliceosome (involved in pre-mRNA splicing). NCBI's taxonomy places the organism in Eukaryota, Metazoa, Chordata, Mammalia, Primates, Cebidae. The record is from Ensembl.